RNAcentral lists this ribosomal RNA (505 nucleotides) under bacterium xpnta255lb821offp11.20. Its description in RNAcentral is "bacterial SSU rRNA". It matches the Rfam family "Bacterial small subunit ribosomal RNA", at positions 51 to 544 of the family's 1533-position model. The record is from RNAcentral.
AUACAUGCAGUCGGACGGGAUUCGAGAUUAGNAGCUUGCUUUAGAUUUCAUGAGAGUGGCGCACGGGUGCGUAACGCGUGCAGACCUACCCAUAUCAGGGGGAUAGCCUCUCGAAAGAGAGAUUAACACCGCAUAACAUCAUUUACCGGCAUCGGAUUAUGAUCAAAUAUUUAUAGGAUAUGGAUGGGCUCGCGUGACAUUAGCUAGUUGGAGGGGUAACGGCCCACCAAGGCUACGAUGUCUAGGGGCUCUGAGAGGAGAAUCCCCCACACUGGUACUGAGACACGGACCAGACUCCUACGGGAGGCAGCAGUAAGGAAUAUUGGUCAAUGGAGGGAACUCUGAACCAGCCAUGCCGCGUGCAGGAUGACUGCCCUAUGGGUUGUAAACUGCUUUUGUCAGGGAAUAAACCUUUCCACGUGUGGGAAGCUGAAUGUACCUGAAGAAUAAGGAUCGGCUAACUCCGUGCCAGCAGCCGCGGUAAUACGGAGGAUCCAAGCGUUAU